Molecule: transfer RNA, 72 nt
Filed under: Ipomoea nil (Japanese morning glory)
Lineage: Eukaryota; Viridiplantae; Streptophyta; Magnoliopsida; Solanales; Convolvulaceae
Rfam family: tRNA
About the family: Transfer RNA (tRNA) molecules are approximately 80 nucleotides in length. Their secondary structure includes four short double-helical elements and three loops (D, anti-codon, and T loops).
Source: Rfam by way of RNAcentral
GACUCUAUGGCUUAAUGGAUAAAGUGUUGGUCUAUGAACCAGAGAUUAUGUGUUCGAUCCUUAGUGGGGUCC